RNAcentral lists this ribosomal RNA (799 nucleotides) under uncultured bacterium. RNAcentral's name for it is "bacterial SSU rRNA". It matches the Rfam family "Bacterial small subunit ribosomal RNA", at positions 66 to 863 of the family's 1533-position model. The record is from RNAcentral.
ACGGCAGCGCGGGGCAACCUGGCGGCGAGUGGCGAACGGGUGAGUAAUAUAUCGGAACGUACCCUGGAGUGGGGGAUAACGUAGCGAAAGUUACGCUAAUACCGCAUACGAUCUAAGGAUGAAAGUGGGGGAUCGCAAGACCUCAUGCUCCUGGAGCGGCCGAUAUCUGAUUAGCUAGUUGGCGGGGUAAAAGCCCACCAAGGCAACGAUCAGUAGCUGGUCUGAGAGGACGACCAGCCACACUGGAACUGAGACACGGUCCAGACUCCUACGGGAGGCAGCAGUGGGGAAUUUUGGACAAUGGGCGCAAGCCUGAUCCAGCAAUGCCGCGUGAGUGAAGAAGGCCUUCGGGUUGUAAAGCUCUUUCAGCCGGGAAGAAAUCACAUGGGUUAAUACCCUGUGUGGAUGACGGUACCGGAAUAAGAAGCACCGGCUAACUACGUGCCAGCAGCCGCGGUAAUACGUAGGGUGCGAGCGUUAAUCGGAAUUACUGGGCGUAAAGCGUGCGCAGGCGGUUUGUUAAGAUAGGCGUGAAAUCCCCGGGCUCAACCUGGGAACUGCGUUUAUGACUGGCAGGCUAGAGUAUGGCAGAGGGGGGUGGAAUUCCACGUGUAGCAGUGAAAUGCGUAGAGAUGUGGAGGAACACCGAUGGCGAAGGCAGCCCCCUGGGCCAAAACUGACGCUCAUGCACGAAAGCGUGGGGAGCAAACAGGAUUAGAUACCCUGGUAGUCCACGCCCUAAACGAUGUCUACUAGUUGUCGGGUCUUAAUUGACUUGGUAACGCAGCUAACGCGUGAA